AAUAAAAGGCUAAGAAAUCAGGUCACACAGACUAGCAUUUACCUGCACCGUUCUUUGUUUCAUGGACACUCAAAAAUUACACUAAUGCCAUGUUUUAUAAAUGGUAUGGCUUACCUUUUAUAUGACCGGUCUGUUUGAGUGCCCACGAAAUGGUUGGCAGGUGCAGGUGUUCCGCUGGUGUCUGUGGUAUUCUGAUCCCGGACAAAGAGCCCCCAACUGUGGAAGUAGACAAAAAUAUUACCAGGUUCAAUAAAAAGCGUUUAAUUGACCAUUACAAUACA
Non-coding RNA from Pelobates cultripes (western spadefoot toad), 281 nucleotides. Lineage: Eukaryota; Metazoa; Chordata; Amphibia; Anura; Pelobatidae. The record is from the annotation of a GenBank genome assembly.